UCUUAGAUGACUGAGUAGAUAGUGCUAGACUUUUAAUCUAGAAACAGCAUUUGUAAUUGCUUCUAAGAA
RNAcentral lists this transfer RNA (69 nucleotides) under Eubela sp. MNHN IM 2013-9671. RNAcentral describes it as "tRNA-Lys". It matches the Rfam family "tRNA". Rfam says of the family: Transfer RNA (tRNA) molecules are approximately 80 nucleotides in length. Their secondary structure includes four short double-helical elements and three loops (D, anti-codon, and T loops). Lineage: Eukaryota; Metazoa; Mollusca; Gastropoda; Neogastropoda; Raphitomidae. The record is from RNAcentral.